Molecule: non-coding RNA, 136 nt
Organism: Hordeum vulgare subsp. vulgare (domesticated barley)
Lineage: Eukaryota; Viridiplantae; Streptophyta; Magnoliopsida; Poales; Poaceae
Source: Rfam
UACGUACUCCCUUCGUCUUAAAAUUCUUGUUUUAGGAUUGUCUAAACCUAGAUGUAUUUAUAUAUUAAACUGUGAGUAAACAUAUUCAUAUCUAGAUAAAUAUAAGACAAGAAUUUUAAGAUGGAGGGAGUAAUAC